UACGUAGGGUGCGAGCGUUGUCCGGAAUUAUUGGGCGUAAAGAGCUUGUAGGCGGUUUGUCGCGUCUGCUGUGAAAAUCCGGGGCUCAACCCCGGACUUGCAGUGGGUACGGGCAGACUAGAGUGUGGUAGGGGAGACUGGAAUUCCUGGUGUAGCGGUGAAAUGCGCAGAUAUCAGGAGGAACACCGAUGGCGAAGGCAGGUCUCUGGGCCACUACUGACGCUGAGAAGCGAAAGCAUGGGGAGCGAACAGGAUUAGAUACCCU
RNAcentral lists this ribosomal RNA (265 nucleotides) under uncultured prokaryote. RNAcentral describes it as "partial 16S ribosomal RNA". It matches the Rfam family "Bacterial small subunit ribosomal RNA", at positions 524 to 788 of the family's 1533-position model. The record is from RNAcentral.